This 353-nucleotide unclassified non-coding RNA is filed under the name Hevea brasiliensis (rubber tree). Lineage: Eukaryota; Viridiplantae; Streptophyta; Magnoliopsida; Malpighiales; Euphorbiaceae. The record is from RNAcentral.
UUUCUGUGAGUCAACUGGGUCAAGGCAAAGUACAGCCCAGCAACAUCUAUGAAACCGAUUAAAGCUUUCAACAAUUCCUGAUAUGGAUCAAAACUGUCAUUCUCAGACACCUUAAGAAAAGUGGCUAAGCAAACGAGCUUUACUAAAGCUGUCCCAAGAUAAACAAGCGCAGCUUUAAUAGAGGUUCCAAGGGUAUCAUACUCGGACAAGGGCGUGGCGGAAUAGUAAACAGCGUGAGGGCCGAAGGUGAGAAUCGCACAGUUGAAGAAAUGAAACAACGUCAUCUCCGUCUUCUGUGUGCUAGCUUUUUCGCUUCAAAGCACGCUGGGAGAUCGCAGAGAAAAGAGGUCGCA